UACGAAGGGGGCUAGCGUUGCUCGGAAUUACUGGGCGUAAAGCGUGCGCAGGCGGUUUUGUAAGUUUGUCGUGAAAUCCCCGGGCUCAACCUGGGAAUUGCGAUGAAGACUGCAAGGCUAGAAUCUGGCAGAGGGGGGUAGAAUUCCACGUGUAGCAGUGAAAUGCGUAGAGAUGUGGAGGAACACCGAUGGCGAAGGCAGCCCCCUGGGUCAAGAUUGACGCUCAUGCACGAAAGCGUGGGGAGCAAACGAGG
Molecule: ribosomal RNA, 254 nt
Filed under: uncultured bacterium
Lineage: Bacteria
Description: partial 16S ribosomal RNA
Rfam family: Bacterial small subunit ribosomal RNA
Source: RNAcentral